UGAUGACGAGUGCUUGCUAACAAAAG
RNAcentral lists this small RNA (26 nucleotides) under Bombyx mori (domestic silkworm). RNAcentral's name for it is "ovarian small RNA-32790". Lineage: Eukaryota; Metazoa; Arthropoda; Insecta; Lepidoptera; Bombycidae. The record is from RNAcentral.